Molecule: ribosomal RNA, 496 nt
Filed under: uncultured bacterium
Lineage: Bacteria
Description: partial 16S ribosomal RNA
Rfam family: Bacterial small subunit ribosomal RNA
Source: RNAcentral
ACGAACGCUGGCGGCGUGCCUCAUACAUGCAAGUAGAACGCUGAAGAGAGGAGCUUGCUCUUCUUGGAUGAGUUGCGAACGGGUGAGUAACGCGUAGGUAACCUGCCUUGUAGCGGGGGAUAACUAUUGGAAACGAUAGCUAAUACCGCAUAACAAUGGAUGACACAUGUCAUUUAUUUGAAAGGGGCAAUUGCUCCACUACAAGAUGGACCUGCGUUGUAUUAGCUAGUAGGUGAGGUAAUGGCUCACCUAGGCGACGAUACAUAGCCGACCUGAGAGGGUGAUCGGCCACACUGGGACUGAGACACGGCCCAGACUCCUACGGGAGGCAGCAGUAGGGAAUCUUCGGCAAUGGGGGCAACCCUGACCGAGCAACGCCGCGUGAGUGAAGAAGGGUUUCGGAUCGUAAAGCUCUGUUGUAAGUCAAGAACGGGUGUGAGAGUGGAAAGUUCACACUGUGACGGUAGCUUACCAGAAAGGGACGGCUAACUACGUG